Cyanistes caeruleus (blue tit) is the source of this 300-nucleotide long non-coding RNA. RefSeq lists it as uncharacterized. Lineage: Eukaryota; Metazoa; Chordata; Aves; Passeriformes; Paridae. The record is from RefSeq and is a predicted model, not a curated record.
UGAGUCCUGAGGAAGAUGGAACAAUUCAGAGAGACACAAAGAAUAAAACAAGGAAGAGAGUUGCUGCUAUAAAAGAUCUGCUUCAAGGGUUUUAAACAGGAGAUGAGUGUGAAAUAUCUACUACCUGAAGUGCUGAAAAAAGCCUCAUUUGCUGAGGCCACCGACCAGAAACACCUGGAGUGGAGCUGCCAUAGACUUCUGUGUCCAAUCCACUUCUCACAAGAACCACAGCUCGUCUCUUUUACAGAAAAUGCUGUGUCAGCUUGUUCUUUCAGUCUAUAAAUUAAAUCUAGAUCUUCA